CACGUAGGGGACGAGCGUUGUCCGGAUUCAUUGGGCGUAAAGCGCGCGUAGGCGGCUCGGAAAGUCGGUCGUGAAAUGCCGGGGCUCAACCCCGGGACUGCGUCCGAUACUCCCGAGCUGGAGUCAGGUAGGGGAGAUCGGAAUUCCUGGUGUAGCGGUGAAAUGCGCAGAUAUCAGGAGGAACACCGGUGGCGAAGGCGGAUCUCUGGGCCUUGCCUGACGCUGAGGCGCGAAAGCUAGGGGAGCGAACAGG
RNAcentral lists this ribosomal RNA (253 nucleotides) under uncultured bacterium. Its description in RNAcentral is "partial 16S ribosomal RNA". It matches the Rfam family "Bacterial small subunit ribosomal RNA", at positions 524 to 776 of the family's 1533-position model. The record is from RNAcentral.